AAUGGCCUAACGGCUGAACCAGCAACUUGGAAGAAUGAAAAACGGGGUCGUAUAAAAUUCUAGAUAAAAGAUGAUUAUGACAACUGUUUAUCUAUAAGUCUUGUCCAAAUAACGUGCCAGCAGACGCGGUAAUACGUUGAAGACUAGUGUUAUUCAUCUUUAUUGGGUUUAAAGGGUACCUAGACGGAAAUACUAAGCCAUAUAAGGAACUAGUAAUCUAGAGUCAUAUGUAAGAAGGUAGAAUUUACAGAGUAGAGUUAAUAUUUGUUUAUACUGUAAGGACUGGUUAAAGCGAAGGCAACCUUCUAUGUAAUAUACGUGCUUAAACUAAACAUAUUUAAAUAAUUAAGCCUAUAAUGACUGACGUUGAGGGACGAAGCCUAGGGUAGCGAUAAGGAUUAGAGACCCUAAUAGUCCUAGGAGAAAAUUAUGAAUGCCAUAUGCUAGAUGUUUUUAGCAUAUAAAUGAAAGUGUAAGCAUUCCACCUCAUGAGUAAAGCGGCAACGCUCAAAUUGAAAUCAUUAGACCGUUUCUGAAACCAGUAGUGAAGUAUGUUAUUUAAUUCGAUAAUCCGCGAAUAACCUUACCACAAUUUGAAUCAACCCGUGGGCCUUUGGCCUCUAUAAGGGUAGACAAGUGCUGCACGGCUGUCUUUAGCUAAUGUCGUGAGAUCUGGUUAAUUCCUUUAAUUAGCGCAAGCCCUUACUUUAUUUAUAAUUCACUUUUUAAAAGUGCCAAUAUAAAGUAGUUCGCCAAUAUAUCGGUUAGAUAAUAGGGAUUAAGACAAGUCAUCAUGGCCUUAAUAUUGUGGGCUAUAGACGUGCCACAUAUGCUUUUACAAAAGGAUGCAAAAUCGUGAGAUUUAGCUAAUCCUCAAAAAAGGACAUAACUAUUCGU
This 897-nucleotide ribosomal RNA is filed under the name Leptorhaphis atomaria. Its description in RNAcentral is "SSU rRNA". It matches the Rfam family "Bacterial small subunit ribosomal RNA", at positions 370 to 1301 of the family's 1533-position model. Lineage: Eukaryota; Fungi; Ascomycota; Dothideomycetes; Pleosporales; Naetrocymbaceae. The record is from RNAcentral.